RNAcentral lists this ribosomal RNA (330 nucleotides) under uncultured Bacillota bacterium. RNAcentral's name for it is "bacterial SSU rRNA". It matches the Rfam family "Bacterial small subunit ribosomal RNA", at positions 28 to 351 of the family's 1533-position model. The record is from RNAcentral. Lineage: Bacteria; Bacillati; Bacillota.
GAUGAACGCUGGCGGCGUGCUUAAUACAUGCAAGUCGAACGAGGGACUUUUGUCUUCGGAUAGAGGUUUCCUAGUGGCGAACGGGUGAGUAACGCGUUGGUGACCUGCCCUAUGGAAAGGAAUAGCCUCGGGAAACUGGGAGUAAUGCCUUAUAAGAUACAUUUGUCGCAUGGCAGAAGUAUUAAACGCUCCGGUGCCAUAGGAUGGACCCGCGUCCCAUUAGCUAGUUGGUGAGAUAACAGCCCACCAAGGCGACGAUGGGUAACCGGUCUGAGAGGGCGAACGGUCACACUGGAACUGAGACACGGUCCAGACUCCUACGGGAGGCUG